RNAcentral lists this microRNA (23 nucleotides) under Aegilops tauschii. RNAcentral's name for it is "ata-miR169b-3p". Its record names the gene ata-miR169b-3p. Lineage: Eukaryota; Viridiplantae; Streptophyta; Magnoliopsida; Poales; Poaceae. The record is from miRBase by way of RNAcentral.
UGGGCAAGUCAUCCUGGCUACCC